UACAGUAUAAUAAGAUAUUAAGGUUUAUAGCUUACGUUGUUUUGAUGAAAAUACUUGCACAGUUCAAAAUUUAUGUAGAAUAGAAGACGGAAAAUAAUGAUAUUAUCUGUAGGGGAUUUGAUGAUAAUUUUCUGAUCCAUGCUGUUUGGCCAGGAAACUAAUGAUUGAUGGACUUGUACAAGAAAUUAAACUUUUACUUGGGGGAUCGAUUAGUUAUUUGCUCGUGCGGACUCUCUGCAUCUCCCUAUCUCCCUCCGUUGGGCUCCUUCUCAAAUCGGAUCCGUAGCGAUCUCCGCUUCUCGAAUCGAAUCCAUUGCUCUAGCUUGGGCUAUCCUCGAGACAAGGGUGUAGGUAUUAAAUUCCCACAUGAAUAAGAGCUCACUUUUCCUCCCCACACUCUCGGGUAAGAAGAGCCAUUAAUGAGAUAGGGGAGGAGAUUUCAGACAGCAGCUGUAGGGAUUGACUUGAUGAAUUGAAAUAAUUUGCUUCGAGGUUGUGGCUGGAGCAGUUAAAGCUGUUGCAACGAGCUCACAUGCGGAUCUGAAAUUCCCCUGAAGUACCAGUCAGAAAAGAGAACAUCUAUGUUCAAUGACAUGGCAACAGCUGGCCAUCGUAAAUGUUAAUCUUGACACUGUUGGUUUCUGGAGGCCCUGCUCUGGCUUUUUUGGAAUGCAAUGAUGACUUUGUAACUUUCUACUUGGUUGAUCUCAAAUAAUUGAGCUGAGCUAGGUUAGGUUCAUUCUGAACUUUGUGGUGCCCCUACUCAUUCAUGGCUCCUUUUUAGAAUACGCAGUACAAAAAAUCUGGCCCAUUAGAGUACUCCUCUGAAAUCUACUGUUCGAUUGAUUGAAAAUAUUUAU
Non-coding RNA from Elaeis guineensis (African oil palm), 860 nucleotides. Lineage: Eukaryota; Viridiplantae; Streptophyta; Magnoliopsida; Arecales; Arecaceae. The record is from RefSeq and is a predicted model, not a curated record.